RNAcentral lists this ribosomal RNA (578 nucleotides) under uncultured Pirellula sp. RNAcentral's name for it is "bacterial SSU rRNA". It matches the Rfam family "Bacterial small subunit ribosomal RNA", at positions 102 to 694 of the family's 1533-position model. The record is from RNAcentral. Lineage: Bacteria; Pseudomonadati; Planctomycetota; Planctomycetia; Pirellulales; Pirellulaceae.
AAGGGAGAGUAAUGCAUGGUUAGCUACCCCCGGGACUGGGAUAGCGGCGGGAAACUGCCGGUAAUACCAGAUGACAUCUUCGGAUCAAAGGUGUGAAUCCGCCCGAGGAGGCGACCAUGUCCUAUCAGCUUGUUGGCGGGGUAACGGCCCACCAAGGCAAAGACGGGUAUGGGGCGUGAGAGCGUGCCCCCACUCACUGGGACUGAGACACUGCCCAGACACCUACGGGUGGCUGCAGUCGAGAAUCUUCGGCAAUGGGCGCAAGCCUGACCGAGCGACGCCGCGUGCGGGAUGAAGGCCUUCGGGUUGUAAACCGCUGUCGUAGGGGAGGAAGCAACCGUGAAGAACGGAAGUUGACCGAUCCUAGGAGGAAGGGCCGGCUAAUCUCGUGCCAGCAGCCGCGGUAAUACGAGAGGCCCAAACGUUAUUCGGAUUUACUGGGCUUAAAGAGUUCGUGGGCGGCGCAGAAAGUAGGGUGUGAAAGCCCUCGGCUCAACCGAGGAAUUGCGCCCUAAACUACUGUGCUUGAGGAAGCUAGAGGUGAGCAGAACUGAUGGUGGAGCGGUGAAAUGCGUUGA